AGAGUUUGAUCAUGGCUCAGGAUGAACGCUAGCGGCAGGCCUAAUACAUGCAAGUCGAACGCUCAGUAGCAAUACUGGGAGUGGCGCACGGGUGCGUAACGCGUACACAAUCUACUCUAAGCGGGGGACACCUCCUGAAACGGGGAUUAAUACCGCAUAAUAUGCCGAAGUCGCAUGACUUUGGUAUUAAAGCAGCAAUGCACUUAGAGAUGAGUGUGCGUCCCAUUAGGUAGUUGGUGAGGUAACGGCUCACCAAGCCUAUGAUGGGCAGCCGGUCUGAGAGGAUGGUCGGCCACACGGGCACUGAGACACGGGCCCGACUCCUACGGGAGGCAGCAGUAAGGAAUAUUGGUCAAUGGUGGAAACACUGAACCAGCCAUGCCGCGUGGAGGAAUAAGGUCCUACGGAUUGUAAACUCCUUUUGACGAGGAAGAAAAUGUUAGAUUUAUCUAAUUUUGACGGUACUCGUAGAAUAAGCACCGGCUAACUCCGUG
RNAcentral lists this ribosomal RNA (494 nucleotides) under uncultured bacterium. RNAcentral's name for it is "bacterial SSU rRNA". It matches the Rfam family "Bacterial small subunit ribosomal RNA", at positions 8 to 507 of the family's 1533-position model. The record is from RNAcentral.